UUAGUGGCUCCGUAGCCGUGUCACUUUGGAUGACACACUCAAGGAAGUGAAACAAUUUAUCUAAUCAAUUGAAACAGGGAUGUACCGACCUCCCAGGACUGCUGUGGAGAUCCAGUGAGAUAACGUGUGCACAGUGUGCAGCGUGGUCCCCAGCACAGAGUCAGUGCUGAGGGAGUGUCAGUGAGUACCUGGUAGGACAGGUGUCUGUGGUGGAACCCGUUGACUAAGGAAAUUGGUCCCUGAAGUAGGGGUCCUCUGACAUC
Vicugna pacos (alpaca) is the source of this 263-nucleotide non-coding RNA. Lineage: Eukaryota; Metazoa; Chordata; Mammalia; Artiodactyla; Camelidae. The record is from RefSeq and is a predicted model, not a curated record.